This is a long non-coding RNA of Sciurus carolinensis (gray squirrel), 3655 nucleotides long. RefSeq lists it as uncharacterized. The transcript is spliced from 3 exons. NCBI's taxonomy places the organism in Eukaryota, Metazoa, Chordata, Mammalia, Rodentia, Sciuridae. The record is from RefSeq and is a predicted model, not a curated record.
ACUAAGGGGCAGUCGUGGGGAGCCAGAGACCCGGACCAGGAGCUCGGUUUGCCAGAGCCCAUUGUACUCACGCCGGGGGUCUGAAGACCUUCUUUUACUGGUUCUGUUUAUCAGUCAAACUUUAGUUGACCUUUGGACUUGUUAAGCAAGUGGCUUGCAACCUAGGCGUGGGGGCUUUUCCACUGGCGGCGGGCUCAGCUUCAGCCCAGAAAGAAGAAACUGACUUUCGGGGGUUCAGGACAACCUCGGUGCCCGGGACCAGAGACGCUCUCUGUAAAUGCAAGGUCACCGUGGCAGCGCGCCCGCGGAGUAGAGAAGGCACCCACAAGCCACUGAAAGAAGUUUUUUUUCCACCCAGGCCUGGCCCGGAAGGAAGCCACUGGCCUUUCAGUAUUACAGGAGUUUCUGCCGCACCUCCCUGGGAGGCUGAGGGGAAAAAGAGGGCCAAAGUAAGGGCUCCCAAACCUACAGACUGGGACCUGAUUUGCAAAAAAAAAAAAAAAAAAAAAAAAAAACAGAGGAAGGGGUUUCUUAGAAUCCCACCCACCGGUUGCUCCUGGGGCAGGACACCUGUUCCCCUUUUUGAGCUUCAGUUUCCUCCUCUGUGAAAAGGAUACCUAUAGCUAAGGUGCAGGGGAUCUGCACUCGCUAAAUGAGACCACCUGUGUAAACCGUUGGUCUAACAAUAGUGCUCACACUUUCCUGACUGGAAGGGCAGGAGGCCUGUUCCCAGUAUUAAAAUCUAACCCUUUUGGAUGCUUAGAGUUCUCAGAAUCAGGGAGAUGCAGUGCUGGAUUUGGAGCGGCAAAGAAAUUAGGGACAAAAAUUCAGAAUCUGCAGGAAAGUUGCAAAGGAACUUCUAAAUACAUUCUCUUACCUCUCCCUCCUUUGAAGGCAAAUUAGGAGGAAGUUAGGGUUGGGUUAGGGAUAGAGAAGAAUUUCAGGAUGAGGAGGAAGGGUCCAUCAGCUUUCAUCUGGUAAGUACAGGAUCAGAUCUUCUCCAUGUAGAAAGGCUGGUGAUGUGACUGACCAAGGACAAGCUACUAAGGAGAGAGGAUGACACUUUCAAAUGCAGGCUGGGCUACAGGUGCCUGGGUUUCUGUUCCUGAAGCCAGAAUGAAGAGGAAAAGUUGUAUACAUGGAGCCUUGGGGAAGGUUUACCCCCAUCACUGACCUUUCCCUGAGAAAGGGGUAAUAAAUUUAUAGACAUCAUGGCCUUUCAUUUCACCUCCUUGUCUUCUAGUUUGUUGUGACAUAUGGCAUAUCCUUGAAAUUUUUUCCACCCAGUAAAACUUUCUCUGCCUCCCCAGCUCCCUUUAAGUAGGAUAAUGAUGUGUUCAGAGUAAAUGUCCCUGGACAAUAAUCGUUUUUCUGUUCCUUACUAUCAUGACAGAAGCAUCAAGUUUUUGUAUUAACCUGGGAAACCCCAUUGAAAAGCCAGUCAUCGCUUCCCUUUGACAGCACAGCUUUGUAUUUCCAACUGCCGUGUGUCCCAUUAGACUGCCGGCCAGGCCUCCUUCUCUCUCAAAAUUCAGGUGUCUGCAAACCCAUUCUUCCCCCAGCCCCAUUCACCUUAUCUGAAUGCAGGAAGUUGCACACAAAAUACAGGAAAAACUUCCUCUCAGUGUUGGGGUCUGUCUUGCAGGUCAUCUGGCCAUUCAUACCCAGCAACUUCCUGCGAUCCUCCUGCCCAUAUCCACCUUAUAUAUGCCACUUGGUGCAGUGUAGGUGCUUACCAAGUCAUCUUGACUACAGAUCUGUGACGAUUCCAUGCCUAUCCCUUCCUACAGAGAUUUAAAAAGAAAAGUAUAAGUAGGACAGCAAAUAGUUCUUCAGGAUUCAGGUUGUAGAUGCUCAUUAAAUGAGCUAUCUCCUGAACCCCUUCAGGAAACUUCCCCCCUAUAGAGGAAGACAUGGUGUGAUUAAAACAAUCUUUGCUUAUGUUUCACAUGGUAUAAAGUAGUGAUGAACUCAGAUAGUGACCCCCAGUUUAAAUAUGGGAAAAUAAGACAUGGGAGAAUGUAAGGAGGUUGCUUGUAGUCACUGAAAUAAAUUAGUGGAAGGGCUGAGACUGGGACUCAGGACUUCAGUGCAGGACUUUAGGGUGAAAGAGGAGAGUGUCUGACUUUCAUGGUUUGGGAGAAGGAAAGUUGGAAGGGAGAUUCUAUGGGAGUGAGGUGGAAGAUACACAGCAAAGAACAGAAGGUGGGCUUUGGAGUCCAAGAGAUCUACAAAAAGGAUAAGAACUCUGUAUUGUGUUUUUGUGAAGAUGAAAUGACUUAAGAACUGCAGGCUCCCAGACUGUGGCAGGUUUUCACAUAUUCAGAAAAAGGACACACCGUGAAAACAUGCUCAGUGAGGCAAUUGACCUCUUUGGGCUCUUAUAUUCCCAGAAUGGUUUUGUUUUUGUUUUUGGUACCAGGGAUUGAACCCAGAGGUGCUUAACCACUGAGCCACAUCCCCAGCCCUUUUUAUUUUUUAUUUUGAGACAGAGUCUUGCUAGGUUGCUUAGAGUCUUGCUAAAUCACUGAGACUGACUUUGAAUUUGGGAUCCUCCUGCCUUAGCCUCCCGAGUUGCUGGGAUUACAAAUGUGUGCCACCAUGCCUGGCCUCCCAGAUUGCUUUUAAGAGUUACUGAAUUCGAAGAGACCACAUUAUUUUACCAAAUAAUAAAUUUGUAAUUCAAAUCCCAAGGUUUUCUAUGGGAGAUGAAGUUCCUGGUGUAAAAAUUAUUGUAAAUCUAGUGAGCGGGUCACUCUAUGAAGUUUUUCAGAGCACCAUGCUGGUAAUUUCAUAGAAUACUGAAUGCUGCUCCUGUGAACACACCUCUUUUUCUUUCCUGCUUGUGUACAUGGUCCCCCUGCUUUUCCUUGGUUACCCCUCUUCCACUACAGAAAGGUGAAAGGUCUUUCUGAUCUCUGCUCUUCUACUCAUUGAUUUGGCAGAAUGUCUAGAAGGCAUCAAAAUGAAAUAUCUCCAGAGAAGAACAUAAAUAUCGCUCUCUCCUGGUCUGAAGGAGGUUGGAGGCCUUAGUGUUAGAAAGCAGUGCCAUAUCCCAGAGAACAUUUUGGACUUAAGGGUCAGGAGUCUGAUGUCCUAGUUCUGUGUAUAACACUCCUUUCUGGAUGAGUCUUCACCUCUCUCAAAGACUUUAGUGAACAUCUCUGGGCCUCUGAUUUUGCUUUCAAAAAUUGACCAGUUAGGUCAGAUGACUGUUUAAAUUCCCCAACUUUUUUAUGAUUCAAAAUUCCUAAAAGGUCUUAAGUUCCUGGGGUAACCCCUUUCAGGCCUUUGGGAAGAUAGAUGGUCCAAGAACACUGGCCAAACCUCUGUGUGGUAGUAGACAUGAAAUUUUUGACUGAUCCAUGAAAAAGUACACCACAGACUAUAAUCUUCGUGGGAGGCAGAACCUUCACCUGCCUUACUCCUCACUGCCUGGAGAGGUGCAGAUACAUGGUAAUGUGUGGCCCUCCAGGAUCUUUUCUGUUCACCAAGUAUAGUUCAUCACCCUUAAAAUCUAUAGACUAAUAUAUUCUAAGAAUGGGCAAACUUCUUCCAUAAAGGAAUAGAUAGUAAGUAUUUUAGGCUUUGUGAGCCAUGCAAGCUUUGUCAUGACUACGCAACUCUGCUGCUACAGACAAUACAAAUAAGAAUA